This 402-nucleotide ribosomal RNA is filed under the name uncultured bacterium. Its description in RNAcentral is "bacterial SSU rRNA". It matches the Rfam family "Bacterial small subunit ribosomal RNA", at positions 532 to 939 of the family's 1533-position model. The record is from RNAcentral.
CGGCGAGCGUUAUCCGGAUUUAUUGGGUUUAAGGGUGCGUAGGCGGUUUAUUAAGUCGAUGGUGAAAGGUAGCAGCUUAACUGUUUUACAUGCUGUCGAUACUGAUAAACUUGAGUUGUUAGAAGGUAGCUAGAAUUCCUGGUGUAGCGGUGAAAUGCUUAGAUACCAGGAGGAAUACCAAUUGCGAAGGCAGGUUACUGCAUACAAACUGACGCUGAGGCACGAAAGUAUGGGGAUCAAACAGGAUUAGAUACCCUGGUAGUCCAUACAGUAAACGAUGAUUACUAGCUGUUAGUUAAAGAUUAGUGGCUAAGGGAAACCGAUAAGUAAUCCACCUGGGGAGUACGCCGGCAACGGUGAAACUCAAAGGAAUUGACGGGGGCCCGCACAAGCGGUAAUCGA